Oncorhynchus tshawytscha (Chinook salmon) is the source of this 945-nucleotide long non-coding RNA. RefSeq lists it as uncharacterized. The transcript has 6 exons. The record is from RefSeq and is a predicted model, not a curated record. Lineage: Eukaryota; Metazoa; Chordata; Actinopteri; Salmoniformes; Salmonidae.
AUAAUGAUGAUUAUGGUGGUUUACUUCUGAACAAUGUUUCAUUUCCUCUUGCAACAUAACUAGCUGCAGCUUUAACUCAGCCAUGAGACAAAUGGAAACUAGGCACCACCGCACAGAGCUGUCAAUGUUAUGAAACCAGAACAUAUGUUUGGCAUGAGUUAAAUAGUGCAGUGAGUAAUAAUGCAGUCAUUUACAUAUCCCAUAAGUGUCUUCCUCUUUUAUAUAUCAUUGAUGGAGGACACUCCUUCAAGCGAAACAGGUUUUAGUUGGAAGAACAGUUUUUCAAAAGCUCCCAGACAGAGCAUAUACAGCCUUAUUUGACUCGGGAAUAGGACAAUGAACAACAUUUGGCACAGUAAGAAACUUACUCAAGGAUUCAUGUCAACAAGACUUUAAGUUUGGAAAAGAGAACCACCCCAAGACCCAGAGUGAGGAACAGCAUGAGAAGAAUCAAGAUGCCCCCCUCUGAGGAUCAGAAUCAUAACAAUUGCCAUCCUCACCAACCUCUAACGAUCCCACAACAAUGUAAAGAAGACCAAUCUGGCACCAAGACAGAGGUGUAUUAUGAAAUGGAACAUUACAGCCUUAAUUCAGAACAACCACAUGGAAUCAACUGUGCCUGUAAAUAGCACGGUGGUCCCAUUUCAGGCUGGGGUGGCGGGUGUGGAUACACAUCCUCAUCUAGGCUUCAUCUCAAUAGGAUCAUCUCCAGACUGUGUUCAGGCAGCUCUACCCCAUACCGAUGACUCUUCCUCACAGCAUUCACCUCAACACCAGCUUCUUCAAUGAUGCAGUCAUAACAUCAGGUAUGAAAAGCUCCAGUAGCCUUGGAAGAAGAGAUUAAGUGAAGGAAGAGGCUUCUUUUGAAAACAUUUCUGCUGCUAUUUUCUGCUGCUUUUAAGAUGUAUGUAUGUAUGUAUGUAUGUAUGUGUGUGUGUGUGUGUU